RNAcentral lists this ribosomal RNA (460 nucleotides) under uncultured bacterium. RNAcentral describes it as "partial 16S ribosomal RNA". It matches the Rfam family "Bacterial small subunit ribosomal RNA", at positions 338 to 795 of the family's 1533-position model. The record is from RNAcentral.
CCUACGGGAGACUGCAGUGAGGAAUAUUGGUCAAUGGGCUUACGCCUGAACCAACCAAGUCGCGUGAGGGAAGACUGCCCUCUGGGUUGUAAACCUCUUUUGUCAGGGAGCAAUUGGCGCUACGUGUAGCGUUAUCGAGAGUACCUGAACAAAAAGCAUCGGCUAACUCCGUGCCAGCAGCCGCGGUAAUACGGAGGAUGCGAGCGGUAUCCGGAUUUAUUGGGUGUAAAGGGUGCGUAGGCGGAAUGCCAAGUCAGCGGUAAAAUCGCGGGGCUCAACCGCGCUCCGCCGUUGAAACUGGCGUUCUUGAGUGGGCGAGAGGUAUGCGGAAUGCGUGGUGUAGCGGUGAAAUGCAUAGAUAUCACGCAGAACUCCGGUGGCGAAGGCAGCAUACCGGCGUCCAACUGACGCUGAAGCACGAAAGCGUGGGUAUCGAACAGGAUUAGAUACCCGAGUAGUC